Molecule: long non-coding RNA, 698 nt
Filed under: Aquilegia coerulea
Lineage: Eukaryota; Viridiplantae; Streptophyta; Magnoliopsida; Ranunculales; Ranunculaceae
Description: long non-coding RNA (ACOE_LNC000094)
Source: RNAcentral
AGAUCAGCAAGGUGAAAGGAAUGCCUUGGGAGUUGGGAAUUGGUAGAGAUGUCUAACAGGGGGGUUGAGUUGAAGAAGACACAGUUUUGCAGAGUUAAUGCUAAACUGGGAGGGGUUAAUGGUGGAUCAAUGGUAACAGUCUGUACUGAACAAAGCAAUGGCCAUUGGGGGCACAACCAGUUCCAAGGAUAGCAGCAGGAUCAGGGAUUCUGGUGACAACAGGUACUGACGGAGAUGCUAACAUAGAUUUGAAGAAGGCACACAGGGUGCAGGACCUCAUUACUGAAUGGGAUCGACUGAUUAUAGACAGCUGGUAGGUUCCAUUGUUAGUCUGCAGCAAUUGAGUGACAGAGCUGAACUUGGGGAGCGAACAGACUGGCUGGGUAUUGGGCAAUUGCUGCAGUGGCUGUUACAGAGGUAUUGUCUUGUUCCAGGUAUCCUCAGAAGCAGGUACAAAGGAUUAAGCAGCAGUUGAGUCUCUAGUUGUGAGUUAUACAUGGUUAUUGUAAGUUCUGCUGAUUGUCCUAGGGUCAGUCAGUAGCUACUUAUCAAAUUAAUUAUUCGACAUUGAUGUUUCUCCAUUGUUAGGGUCACAAUUUUCGCCCAAAAAAAUCUGAUAAUGCUAUCAAACUAUGAUGAUGUGCAUAUUAUGACAUAUCAUUGACUUAUCAGGAAGAAGAUAUAAUUUUUAGCCUCAC